CGCGAAACCUUCGCAAUGUGCUCACGCACGACGAGGGGAUCCGAAGUGCUACAGCACUGCUGUAGCUUUUGCCGAGUCCAAACAGCUCGGCGAAUAAGGGGUGGGUAAGACAGGUGCCAGCCGCCGCGGUAAUACCUGCGCCCCAAGUGGUAUCCAGUAUUAUUGGGCCUAAAGCGUCCGUAGCCGGUCUGGCAAGUCUUCGGUGAAAUUCACUAGUAAACUAGUGAGCGCGUCGGAGAUACUGCCAGACUUGGGACCGGGAGAGGGUAGGGGUACUCCUAGGGGAGGGGUAAAAUCCUAUAAUCCUAGGGGGACCACCGGUGGCGAAGGCGCCUACCUAGAACGGUUCCGACGGUGAGGAACGAAAGCUAGGGGAGCGAUCGGGAUUAGAUACCCCGGUAGUCCUAGCUGUAAACGAUGCCCGCUUGGUGUUGCAAUCUUCUCGUGAGAUUGCAGUGCCGGAAUGUAGAUGUUAAGCGGGCCGCCUGGGGAGUACGGCCGCAAGGUUGAAACUUAAGGGAAUUGGCGGGGGAGCACACAAGGGGUGGAGGCUGCGGUUCAAUUGGAUCCAACGCCGGAAAUCUUACGGGGAUCGACAGCAGAAUGAAGGUCAGUCUAAAGGGCUUACCUGACAAGCUGAGAGGUAUUGCAUGGCCAUCGUCAGUUCGUACCGUGAGGCGUGCGGUUAAGUCCGUUAACGAACGAGACCCGCGCCCCAUGUUGCUACUCUGCAAAGAGGCACUCAUGGGGGACCGCUGGUGAUAAACCAGAGGAAGGUGCGGGCGACGGUAGGUCAGUAUGGUCCGAAUUUCCCCGGCUACACGCGGCCUACAAUGUCUGAGACAAUGGGAUGCAACCCCGUGAGGGGAAGCCAACCCCCUAAACUCAGACCUAGUACAGAUCGAGGGUUGUAACUCACCCUCGUGAAGCUGGAAUCCCUAGUAAACGAACGUCACUAUCGUUCGUUGAAUCC
Molecule: ribosomal RNA, 973 nt
Filed under: uncultured archaeon
Lineage: Archaea
Description: bacterial SSU rRNA
Rfam family: Archaeal small subunit ribosomal RNA
Source: RNAcentral